GUCUAAGGCCAUACCACCCUGAAUGUGCCUGAUCUGGGGAGCUAAGCAGGGUUGGGCCUGGUUAGUACUUUGAUGAGAGACUAAUAUAAAAAUAAGAAUAAUAUAAAAA
This 109-nucleotide ribosomal RNA is filed under the name Octodon degus (degu). The record is from RNAcentral. Lineage: Eukaryota; Metazoa; Chordata; Mammalia; Rodentia; Octodontidae.